GCGGACUGGUGAGUAACGCGUGGGCGACCUGCCCCGGGGAUGGGGACAGCCGCUGGAAACAGCGGGUAAUACCGAAUACGCUUGUGCAGCCGAGGCUGUAUGAGGAAAGGGGCUUCGGCCCCGCCCCGGGAUGGGCCCGCGUCCCAUUAGCUAGUUGGGGGGGUAACGGCCCGCCAAGGCGAAGAUGGGUAGCCGGCCUGAGAGGGCGAACGGCCACACUGGGACUGAGAUACGGCCCAGACUCCUACGGGAGGCAGCAGCUAAGAAUAUUCCGCAAUGGGCGAAAGCCUGACGGAGCGACGCCGCGUGGAUGACGAAGGCCGAAAGGUUGUAAAAUCCUUUUGCGGGCGAAGAAGAAGGCCUGGAGGGAAUGCCAGGCCGGUGACGCCGGCCCGCGAAUAAGCCCCGGCUAAUUACGUGCCAGCAGCCGCGGUAACACGUAAGGGGCGAGCGUUGUUCGGAAUUAUUGGGCGUAAAGGGCGCGUAGGCGGCCCUGUAAGUCUGAUGUGAAAACCCCGGGCUCAACCCGGGAACUGCAUUGGAAACUGCAAGGCUUGAGUCACGGAGGGGAAGCCGGAAUUCCUGGUGUAGGGGUGAAAUCUGUAGAUAUCAGGAAGAACACCGAUGGCGAAGGCAGGCUUCCAGCCGAUGACUGACGCUGAGGCGCGAAAGUGCGGGGAGCAAACAGGAUUAGAUACCCUGGUAGUCCGCACUGUAAACGAUGCACACUAGGCGUCGGGGCGAGCGUUCCGGUGCCGAAGCGAACGCGGUAAGUGUGCCGCCUGGGGAGUAUGCCCGCAAGGGUGAAACUCAAAGGAAUUGAC
This 824-nucleotide ribosomal RNA is filed under the name uncultured bacterium. Its description in RNAcentral is "bacterial SSU rRNA". It matches the Rfam family "Bacterial small subunit ribosomal RNA", at positions 98 to 914 of the family's 1533-position model. The record is from RNAcentral.